Molecule: ribosomal RNA, 774 nt
Filed under: uncultured Neocallimastigales
Lineage: Eukaryota; Fungi; Neocallimastigomycota; Neocallimastigomycetes; Neocallimastigales
Description: partial large subunit ribosomal RNA
Rfam family: Eukaryotic large subunit ribosomal RNA
Source: RNAcentral
GUACACGCUGUGACUAGCAUAUCAAUAAGCGGAGGAAAAGAAACUAACAAGGAUUCCCCUAGUAACGGCGAGUGAAGCGGGAAGAGCUCAAAUUUGAAAUCUUAAAGGGUUUCCCUUUACGAAUUGUAGUUUAAAGAAGUGUUUUCUGUUGAGGUUUUGGUAAAAGUUCUUUGGAAUAGGACAUCAUAGGGGGUGAGAAUCCCGUAUUUGACCUUUACUUUCAACUUUGUGAUACACUUUCAAAGAGUCGGAUUGUUUGGGAAUGCAGUCCAAAAUGGGUGGCAAAUUUCAUCUAAAGCUAAAUAUUGGCGAGAGACCGAUAGCGAACAAGUACCGUGAGGGAAAGAUGAAAAGAACUUUGAAAAGAGAGUUAAACAGUACGUGAAAUUGUCAAAAGGGAAGCGUUUGACACCAGUGUUGUUUUUCUGAAAAUCAAUUAAAGAACUGUUUAUGCUAAGCUGUUUAGACUUUAUCAGCUAUCUGUUUAGUUUUAGGCUUUUCUUUAAUGCACUUUUCAGUUAACAAGUCAACAUCCAAUUUCUUUUGCUGUAAAAAAGCUUGAGGAAGGUGGCUUGAGAUUCGUCUUAAGUGUUUAUAGCCUCUUGCCUAUGCAGUCGGAGAGAUUGAGGUCUGCAGCGUAGAUCCUUCGGGGCUAAAUGCAUUUGUGCUAAGUUAUAGCAUUUCAUAGACAACUUGUUGACUAUGAUUUGUCUUGUAGCUUACUCGCUUAUGUUAUUUUACCUACGCUUAGGAUGUUAGUCGUAGAGCACGCAG